This 2924-nucleotide ribosomal RNA is filed under the name Salmonella enterica subsp. enterica serovar Enteritidis. Its description in RNAcentral is "bacterial LSU rRNA". It matches the Rfam family "Bacterial large subunit ribosomal RNA". Lineage: Bacteria; Pseudomonadati; Pseudomonadota; Gammaproteobacteria; Enterobacterales; Enterobacteriaceae. The record is from RNAcentral.
GGGUUGUGAGGUUAAGCGACUAAGCGUACACGGUGGAUGCCCUGGCAGUCAGAGGCGAUGAAGGGCGUGCUAAUCUGCGAUAAGCGCCGGUAAGGUGAUAUGAACCGUUAUAACCGGCGAUACCCGAAUGGGGAAACCCAGUGUGACUCGUCACACUAUCAUUAACUGAAUCCAUAGGUUAAUGAGGCGAACCGGGGGAACUGAAACAUCUAAGUACCCCGAGGAAAAGAAAUCAACCGAGAUUCCCCCAGUAGCGGCGAGCGAACGGGGAGGAGCCCAGAGCCUGAAUCAGCAUGUGUGUUAGUGGAAGCGUCUGGAAAGGCGCGCGAUACAGGGUGACAGCCCCGUACACAAAAGCGCAUGUGCUGUGAGCUCGAUGAGUAGGGCGGGACACGUGGUAUCCUGUCUGAAUAUGGGGGGACCAUCCUCCAAGGCUAAAUACUCCUGACUGACCGAUAGUGAACCAGUACCGUGAGGGAAAGGCGAAAAGAACCCCGGCGAGGGGAGUGAAAAAGAACCUGAAACCGUGUACGUACAAGCAGUGGGAGCACCCUUUGGGUGUGACUGCGUACCUUUUGUAUAAUGGGUCAGCGACUUAUAUUCUGUAGCAAGGUUAACCGAAUAGGGGAGCCGGAGGGAAACCGAGUCUUAACCGGGCGUUAAGUUGCAGGGUAUAGACCCGAAACCCGGUGAUCUAGCCAUGGGCAGGUUGAAGGUUGGGUAACACUAACUGGAGGACCGAACCGACUAAUGUUGAAAAAUUAGCGGAUGACCUGUGGCUGGGGGUGAAAGGCCAAUCAAACCGGGAGAUAGCUGGUUCUCCCCGAAAGCUAUUUAGGUAGCGCCUCGUGAAUUCAUCUCCGGGGGUAGAGCACUGUUUCGGCUAGGGGGCCAUCCCGGCUUACCAACCCGAUGCAAACUGCGAAUACCGGAGAAUGUUAUCACGGGAGACACACGGCGGGUGCUAACGUCCGUCGUGAAGAGGGAAACAACCCAGACCGCCAGCUAAGGUCCCAAAGUCAUGGUUAAGUGGGAAACGAUGUGGGAAGGCCCAGACAGCCAGGAUGUUGGCUUAGAAGCAGCCAUCAUUUAAAGAAAGCGUAAUAGCUCACUGGUCGAGUCGGCCUGCGCGGAAGAUGUAACGGGGCUAAACCAUGCACCGAAGCUGCGGCAGCGACACUGUGUGUUGUUGGGUAGGGGAGCGUUCUGUAAGCCUGUGAAGGUGUGUCGUGAGGCAUGCUGGAGGUAUCAGAAGUGCGAAUGCUGACAUAAGUAACGAUAAAGCGGGUGAAAAGCCCGCUCGCCGGAAGACCAAGGGUUCCUGUCCAACGUUAAUCGGGGCAGGGUGAGUCGACCCCUAAGGCGAGGCCGAAAGGCGUAGUCGAUGGGAAACGGGUUAAUAUUCCCGUACUUGGUGUUACUGCGAAGGGGGGACGGAGAAGGCUAUGUUGGCCGGGCGACGGUUGUCCCGGUUUAAGCGUGUAGGUGUGUGUUCCAGGUAAAUCCGGUUCACUUUAACACUGAGGCGUGACGACGAGGCACUACGGUGCUGAAGCAACAAAUGCCCUGCUUCCAGGAAAAGCCUCUAAGCAUCAGGUAACAUCAAAUCGUACCCCAAACCGACACAGGUGGUCAGGUAGAGAAUACCAAGGCGCUUGAGAGAACUCGGGUGAAGGAACUAGGCAAAAUGGUGCCGUAACUUCGGGAGAAGGCACGCUGACACGUAGGUGAAGUGAUUUACUCAUGGAGCUGAAGUCAGUCGAAGAUACCAGCUGGCUGCAACUGUUUAUUAAAAACACAGCACUGUGCAAACACGAAAGUGGACGUAUACGGUGUGACGCCUGCCCGGUGCCGGAAGGUUAAUUGAUGGGGUCAGCGCAAGCGAAGCUCCUGAUCGAAGCCCCGGUAAACGGCGGCCGUAACUAUAACGGUCCUAAGGUAGCGAAAUUCCUUGUCGGGUAAGUUCCGACCUGCACGAAUGGCGUAAUGAUGGCCAGGCUGUCUCCACCCGAGACUCAGUGAAAUUGAACUCGCUGUGAAGAUGCAGUGUACCCGCGGCAAGACGGAAAGACCCCGUGAACCUUUACUAUAGCUUGACACUGAACAUUGAGCCUUGAUGUGUAGGAUAGGUGGGAGGCUUUGAAGUGUGGACGCCAGUCUGCAUGGAGCCGACCUUGAAAUACCACCCUUUAAUGUUUGAUGUUCUAACGUGGACCCGUUACCCGGGUUGCGGACAGUGUCUGGUGGGUAGUUUGACUGGGGCGGUCUCCUCCUAAAGAGUAACGGAGGAGCACGAAGGUUGGCUAAUCCUGGUCGGACAUCAGGAGGUUAGUGCAAUGGCAUAAGCCAGCUUGACUGCGAGCGUGACGGCGCGAGCAGGUGCGAAAGCAGGUCAUAGUGAUCCGGUGGUUCUGAAUGGAAGGGCCAUCGCUCAACGGAUAAAAGGUACUCCGGGGAUAACAGGCUGAUACCGCCCAAGAGUUCAUAUCGACGGCGGUGUUUGGCACCUCGAUGUCGGCUCAUCACAUCCUGGGGCUGAAGUAGGUCCCAAGGGUAUGGCUGUUCGCCAUUUAAAGUGGUACGCGAGCUGGGUUUAGAACGUCGUGAGACAGUUCGGUCCCUAUCUGCCGUGGGCGCUGGAGAACUGAGGGGGCUGCUCCUAGUACGAGAGGACCGGAGUGGACGCAUCACUGGUGUUCGGGUUGUCAUGCCAAUGGCACUGCCCGGUAGCUAAAUGCGGAAGAGAUAAGUGCUGAAAGCAUCUAAGCACGAAACUUGCCCCGAGAUGAGUUCUCCCUGAGACUUAGAGUCUCCUGAAGGAACGUUGAAGACGACGACGUUGAUAGGCCGGGUGUGUAAGCGCAGCGAUGCGUUGAGCUAACCGGUACUAAUGAACCGUGAGGCUUAACCUUACAACGCCGAAG